UGAGGAGCGAAAGCGUGGGAGCGAACAGGAUUAGAUACCCUGGUAGUCCACGCCGUAAACGGUGGGAACUAGGUGUUGGCGACAUUCCACGUCGUCGGUGCCGCAGCUAACGCAUUAAGUUCCCGCCUGGGGAGUACGGCCGCAAGGCUAAAACUCAGAGGAAUUGACGGGGGCCCGCACAAGCGGCGGAGCAUGUGGCUUAAUUCGACGCAACGCGAAGAACCUUACCAAGGCUUGACAUACACCGGAAAGCAUUAGAGAUAGUGCCCCCCUUGUGGUCGGUGUACAGGUGGUGCAUGGCUGUCGUCAGCUCGUGUCGUGAGAUGUUGGGUUAAGUCCCGCAACGAGCGCAACCCUUGUCCCGUGUUGCCAGCAGGCCCUGUGG
This 385-nucleotide ribosomal RNA is filed under the name Streptomyces griseofuscus. RNAcentral's name for it is "bacterial SSU rRNA". It matches the Rfam family "Bacterial small subunit ribosomal RNA", at positions 747 to 1134 of the family's 1533-position model. Lineage: Bacteria; Bacillati; Actinomycetota; Actinomycetes; Kitasatosporales; Streptomycetaceae. The record is from RNAcentral.